RNAcentral lists this ribosomal RNA (253 nucleotides) under uncultured bacterium. Its description in RNAcentral is "partial 16S ribosomal RNA". It matches the Rfam family "Bacterial small subunit ribosomal RNA", at positions 524 to 776 of the family's 1533-position model. The record is from RNAcentral.
UACGAAGGGGGCUAGCGUUGCUCGGAAUCACUGGGCGUAAAGCGCACGUAGGCGGGUCCUUAAGUCAGGGGGGAAAUCCCGGAGCUCAACUCCGGAACUGCCUUUGAUACUGGGGAUCUUGAGUCCGGAAGAGGUGAGUGGAACUCCGAGUGUAGAGGUGAAAUUCGUAGAUAUUCGGAAGAACACCAGUGGCGAAGGCGGCUCACUGGUCCGGUACUGACGCUGAGGUGCGAAAGCGUGGGGAGCAAACAGG